This 253-nucleotide ribosomal RNA is filed under the name uncultured bacterium. Its description in RNAcentral is "partial 16S ribosomal RNA". It matches the Rfam family "Bacterial small subunit ribosomal RNA", at positions 524 to 776 of the family's 1533-position model. The record is from RNAcentral.
UACGUAGGGGCCGAGCGUUGUCCGGAGUUACUGGGCGUAAAGCGCGCGUAGGCGGGUUGGUAAGUCCGCUGUGAAAGCCCGGAGCUUAACUCCGGAGGGUCGGUGGAUACUGCCAGUCUUGAAGGUGCUAGGGGGAGAUGGAAUUACCGGUGUAGCGGUGAAAUGCGUAGAUAUCGGUAGGAACACCAGUGGCGAAGGCGGUCUCCUGGGGCAUUCUUGACGCUGAGGCGCGAAAGCUGGGGGAGCAAACGGG